RNAcentral lists this ribosomal RNA (497 nucleotides) under uncultured bacterium. RNAcentral describes it as "partial 16S ribosomal RNA". It matches the Rfam family "Bacterial small subunit ribosomal RNA", at positions 28 to 507 of the family's 1533-position model. The record is from RNAcentral.
GAUGAACGCUGGCGGCGUGCCUAAUACAUGCAAGUCGAGCGAACGGACGAGAAGCUUGCUUCUCUGAUGUUAGCGGCGGACGGGUGAGUAACACGUGGAUAACCUACCUAUAAGACUGGGAUAACUUCGGGAAACCGGAGCUAAUACCGGAUAAUAUUUUGAACCGCAUGGUUCAAAAGUGAAAGACGGUCUUGCUGUCACUUAUCGAUGGAUCCGCGCUGCAUUAGCUAGUUGGUAAGGUAACGGCUUACCAAGGCAACGAUGCAUAGCCGACCUGAGAGGGUGAUCGGCCACACUGGAACUGAGACACGGUCCAGACUCCUACGGGAGGCAGCAGUAGGGAAUCUGCCGCAAUGGGCGAAAGCCUGACGGAGCAACGCCGCGUGAGUGAUGAAGGUCUUCGGAGCGUAAAACUCUGUUAUUAGGGAAGAACAGAUGUGUAAGUAACUGUGCACAUCUUGACGGUACCUAAUCAGAAAGCCACGGCUAACUACGUG